AUACGUAGGGGGCAAGCGUUGUCCGGAAUUACUGGGCGUAAAGGGUGCGUAGGCGGUCUCUCAAGUCAGAUGUGAAAUCCCCGGGCUUAACUCGGGUGGUGCAUUUGAAACUGGGAGGCUAGAGUGCAGGAGAGGGAAGCGGAAUUCCUAGUGUAGCGGUGAAAUGCGUAGAUAUUAGGAGGAACACCAGUGGCGAAGGCGGCUUUCUGGACUGUAACUGACGCUGAGGCACGAAAGCGUGGGGAGCAAACAGGAUUAGAUACCCUGGUAGUCCACGCUGUAAACGAUGGAUACUAGGUGUAGGGGGCGUAGAGCCUUCUGUGCCGCAGCAAACGCAAUAAGUAUCCCGCCUGGGGAGUACGGCCGCAAGGUUGAA
RNAcentral lists this ribosomal RNA (376 nucleotides) under uncultured bacterium. RNAcentral's name for it is "bacterial SSU rRNA". It matches the Rfam family "Bacterial small subunit ribosomal RNA", at positions 523 to 898 of the family's 1533-position model. The record is from RNAcentral.